UCAGCCUAUCGAUAAGAUGACAUUCUGUGAUGGCAGUGGCCGAUGUUUAUCUGUUGCGUCGCAUCAAUUUUGCGCCGGCUAAAUAUCGUGUUAGUUAUUAUAAAUUUAGAGAAUAAUAUUUUUCUUCAUAAAAUUUGUGUUAUU
Long non-coding RNA from Sebastes umbrosus (honeycomb rockfish), 144 nucleotides. RefSeq lists it as uncharacterized. NCBI's taxonomy places the organism in Eukaryota, Metazoa, Chordata, Actinopteri, Perciformes, Sebastidae. The transcript is spliced from 3 exons. The record is from RefSeq and is a predicted model, not a curated record.